Molecule: long non-coding RNA, 484 nt
Filed under: Equus caballus (horse)
Lineage: Eukaryota; Metazoa; Chordata; Mammalia; Perissodactyla; Equidae
Description: lncRNA (ENSECAG00000059409.1)
Source: RNAcentral
CCUGGCCUCCGCAGGCAGUGCACACCAUUUCUCCAGAGACAGUACCCUCAGAGGAAAGGCCAGGUGAGGACAAAGCAGCCACCUGCAAGACAGGGAGAGAGCCCUUACCAGAACCAGAAGCCUACUGAAACUUUGGCCUUGGCCUUUCCAGCCUCCAGAGCUGGAAACUGAUGUCCAGAGAAUAUCAGGAAACUGAAGCUUCCCAGGCCCCAACUCCUCUGCUUCUUGACACCAGAAUCCACCAUCCACCAUGGAGACAGACAACCAAGAACAUCUACCUGCAGAUUCCCUUAUCUCACCACCUCCCUGCCUGCAAGCAGCCUCACCAGGCUAAAUGCUUUCCCUCACAAGGGAAAGUGCAAAUGCAAGGUCACAGGGUCCGCCUCCCUACAAGCAGAAAAGGUUUACAACACUUUACCCACUUCUUCAUGGGGAGCCAGCAGUUCUUAAGGUGCUAGCCUGCUGCAUGAUCCUUUUGCCUGGC